This 30-nucleotide non-coding RNA is filed under the name Homo sapiens (human). Lineage: Eukaryota; Metazoa; Chordata; Mammalia; Primates; Hominidae. The record is from RNAcentral.
UGAUGUUCCACUUGUUUCUUCUGUUGCUCC